CCUACGGGUGGCUGCAGUCGAGAAUAAUUCACAAUGGGGGAAACCCUGAUGGAGCGACGCCGCGUGGGGGAAGGAAGGUCUGCGGAUUGUAAACCCCUGUCAUGUGGGAGCAAAGUAAAAAGAGAGUACCACAAGAGGAAGAGACGGCGAACGCGGUGCCAGCAGCCGCGGUAAGACAGAGGUCUCAAGCGUUGUUCGGAAUAACUGGGCGUAAAGCGUGCGUAGGCUUUUUCGGAAGUCGUGUGUGAAAGGCGCGGGCUCAACCCGCGGACGGCACCUGAUACUGCGAGCCUAGAGUACUGGAGAGGUAACCGGAAUUCUCGUUGUCGCCGU
RNAcentral lists this ribosomal RNA (333 nucleotides) under uncultured bacterium. RNAcentral's name for it is "partial 16S ribosomal RNA". It matches the Rfam family "Bacterial small subunit ribosomal RNA", at positions 338 to 682 of the family's 1533-position model. The record is from RNAcentral.